Molecule: transfer RNA, 76 nt
Filed under: Pelosinus fermentans
Lineage: Bacteria; Bacillati; Bacillota; Negativicutes; Selenomonadales; Sporomusaceae
Also listed under: 9 other names
Description: tRNA_Thr_TGT
Rfam family: tRNA
About the family: Transfer RNA (tRNA) molecules are approximately 80 nucleotides in length. Their secondary structure includes four short double-helical elements and three loops (D, anti-codon, and T loops).
Source: RNAcentral
GCUGGAAUAGCUCAACUGGUAGAGCACCUCACUUGUAAUGAGGAUGUUGCGGGUUCAAGUCCUGUUUCCAGCUCCA